AUUGAACGCUGGCGGCAGGCCUAACACAUGCAAGUCGAGCGAGAAAGGUCUUCGGACUGAGUACAGCGGCGGACGGGUGAGUAAAGCGUAGGAAUUUACCUGGUAGUGGGGGAUAACUUGGGGAAACUCAAACUAAUACCGCAUACGCCCUACGGGGAAAGGCGGGGACCGUUCGGGCCUCGCGCUAUCAGAUGAGCCUGCGUAGGAUUAGCUAGUUGGUGAGGUAAAGGCUCACCAAGGCGACGAUCCUUAGCUGGUCUGAGAGGAUGAUCAGCCACACUGGGACUGAGACACGGCCCAGACUCCUACGGGAGGCAGCAGUGGGGAAUAUUGCGCAAUGGGCGAAAGCCUGACGCAGCCAUGCCGCGUGUGUGAAGAAGGCCCUUGGGUUGUAAAGCACUUUCAAUUGGGAAGAAAGGUUGCGUGUUAAUAGCACGUAGCUGUGACGUUACCUUUAGAAGAAGCACCGGCUAACUCCGUGCCAGCAGCCGCGG
Molecule: ribosomal RNA, 494 nt
Filed under: uncultured bacterium
Lineage: Bacteria
Description: bacterial SSU rRNA
Rfam family: Bacterial small subunit ribosomal RNA
Source: RNAcentral